GCCAGGCAUGGUAGUACUUGCCUGUAAUCCCAGGGACAUGGGAGGCUAAGGCAAGAGGAUCACAAAUUUGAGGCUAGCCUCAGCAAUUUAGUGAGACCUGCCUUAG
RNAcentral lists this small RNA (106 nucleotides) under Marmota monax (woodchuck). Lineage: Eukaryota; Metazoa; Chordata; Mammalia; Rodentia; Sciuridae. The record is from RNAcentral.